RNAcentral lists this ribosomal RNA (460 nucleotides) under uncultured bacterium. RNAcentral's name for it is "partial 16S ribosomal RNA". It matches the Rfam family "Bacterial small subunit ribosomal RNA", at positions 338 to 795 of the family's 1533-position model. The record is from RNAcentral.
CCUACGGGUGGCAGCAGUGAGGAAUAUUGGUCAAUGGCCGUAAGGCUGAACCAGCCAAGUAGCGUGAAGGAAGCAGGAUCUAUGGUUUGUAAACUUCUUUUAUAGGGGAAUCAAGGUAUCCACGUGUGGAUAUUUGCAUGUUACCUAUGAAUAAGCAUCGGCUAACUCCGUGCCAGCAGCCGGUGUAAUACGGCGGAUGCGAGAGUUAUCCGGAUUUAUUGGGUUUAAAGGGUGCGUAGAUUGUUUUUUAAGUCAGCUGUGAAAGUUUGUGUCUCAACCAUAAAAUUGCAGUUGAUACUGGAAGACUUGAGUGUGUUUGAGGUAGGCGGAAUGCGUGGUGUAGCGGUGAAAUGCAUAGAUAUCACGCAGAACUCCGAGUGCGAAGGCAGCUUACUAAGCCAUAACUGACACUGAAGCACGAAAGCGUGGGGAUCAAACAGGAUUAGAUACCCUUGUAGUC